RNAcentral lists this ribosomal RNA (516 nucleotides) under uncultured microorganism. Its description in RNAcentral is "bacterial SSU rRNA". It matches the Rfam family "Bacterial small subunit ribosomal RNA", at positions 9 to 514 of the family's 1533-position model. The record is from RNAcentral.
GAGUUUGAUCGUGGCUCAGGAUGAACGCUAGCUACAGGCUUAACACAUGCAAGUCGAGGGGCAGCAUGAAAGUUUGCUUGCAAACUUUUGAUGGCGACCGGCGCACGGGUGAGUAACACGUAUCCAACCUGCCUCAUACUCGGGGAUAGCCUUUCGAAAGAAAGAUUAAUACCCGAUGUCAUAGUCCUACCGCAUGAUGGGACUAUUAAAGAAUUUCGGUAUGGGAUGGGGAUGCGUUCCAUUAGUUAGUUGGCGGGGUAACGGCCCACCAAGACAACGAUGGAUAGGGGUUCUGAGAGGAAGGUCCCCCACAUUGGAACUGAGACACGGUCCAAACUCCUACGGGAGGCAGCAGUGAGGAAUAUUGGUCAAUGGACGAGAGUCUGAACCAGCCAAGUAGCGUGAAGGAUGACUGCCCUAUGGGUUGUAAACUUCUUUAUAUGGGAAUAAAUGUUCCACGUGUGGGUAUUUUGUAUGUACCAUAUGAAUAAGGAUCGGCUAACUCCGUGCCAGCCG